GAUGAACGCUGGCGGCGUGCCUAAUACAUGCAAGUCGAGCGAACAGACGAGGAGCUUGCUCCUCUGACGUUAGCGGCGGACGGGUGAGUAACACGUGGAUAACCUACCUAUAAGACUGGGAUAACUUCGUGAAACCGGAGCCAAUACCGGAUAAUAUAUUCAACCGGAUGGUUCAAUAGUUAAAGACGGUUUUGCUGUCACUUAUAGAUGGAUCCGCGCCGCAUUAGUGAGUUGGUAAGGUAACGGCUUACCAAGGCAACGAUGCGUAGCCGACCUGAGAGGGGGAUCGGCCAACCUGGAGCUGAGACACGGUCCGGACUCGUAAGGGAGGCAGGAGGAGGGAAUCUUGCGCAAGGGGCGAAAGCCGGACGGAGCAACGCCGCGUGAGUGAUGAAGGUCUUCGGAUCGUAAAACUCUGUUAUGAGGGAAGAACAAAUGUGUAAGUAACUAUGCACGUCUGGACGGUACCUAACAAGAAGACCACGGCUAACUACGU
Molecule: ribosomal RNA, 496 nt
Filed under: uncultured bacterium
Lineage: Bacteria
Description: partial 16S ribosomal RNA
Rfam family: Bacterial small subunit ribosomal RNA
Source: RNAcentral